This 80-nucleotide transfer RNA is filed under the name Flagellimonas pelagia. Its description in RNAcentral is "Muricauda sp. 72 tRNA-Met". The record is from RNAcentral. Lineage: Bacteria; Pseudomonadati; Bacteroidota; Flavobacteriia; Flavobacteriales; Flavobacteriaceae.
AGUAAGUUAAAAUAGGUGGAAAUUGACCCGUCAGGCUCAUAACCCGAAGGUCACUGGUUCGAGUCCAGUCCCCGCUACAA